GAUGAAGAACGCAGCAAAAUGCGAUAAGUAAUGUGAAUUGCAGAAUUCAGUGAAUCAUCGAAUCUUUGAACCCACAUUGCGCCCGCUGGUAUUCCGGCGGGCAUGCCUGUUCGAGCGUCAUUUCAACCCUCAAGCCCCCGGGUUUGGUGUUGGGGAUCGGCUCUGCCCUUCUGGGCGGUGCCGCCCCCGAAAUACAUUGGCGGUCUCGCUGCAGCCUCCAUUGCGUAGUAGCUAACACCUCGCAACUGGAACGCGGCGCGGCCAUGCCGUAAAACCCCAACUUCUGAAUGUUGACCUCGGAUCAGGUAGGAAUACCCGCUGAACUUAAGCAUAUCAAUAAGCGGAGGA
RNAcentral lists this unclassified non-coding RNA (348 nucleotides) under soil metagenome. RNAcentral's name for it is "partial contains 5.8S ribosomal RNA, internal transcribed spacer 2, and large subunit ribosomal RNA". The stretch from base 1 to 120 matches the Rfam family "5.8S ribosomal RNA", at positions 35 to 154 of the family's 154-position model. The record is from RNAcentral.